GACGAACGCUGGCGGCGUGCUUAACACAUGCAAGUCGAACGGAAAGGCCCUGCUUUUGUGGGGUGCUCGAGUGGCGAACGGGUGAGUAACACGUGAGUAACCUGCCCUUGACUUUGGGAUAACUUCAGGAAACUGGGGCUAAUACCGGAUAGGAGCUCCUGCUGCAUGGUGGGGGUUGGAAAGUUUCGGCGGUUGGGGAUGGACUCGCGGCUUAUCAGCUUGUUGGUGGGGUAGUGGCUUACCAAGGCUUUGACGGGUAGCCGGCCUGAGAGGGUGACCGGCUACAUUGGGACUGAGAGACGGCCCAGACUCCUACGGGAGGCAGCAGUGGGGAAUAUUGCACAAUGGGCGGAAGCCUGAUGCAGCAACGCCGCGUGCGGGAUGACGGCCUUCGGGUUGUAAACCGCUUUCGCCUGUGACGAAGCGUGAGUGACGGUAAUGGGUAAAGAAGCACCGGCUAACUACGUG
RNAcentral lists this ribosomal RNA (468 nucleotides) under uncultured bacterium. RNAcentral's name for it is "partial 16S ribosomal RNA". It matches the Rfam family "Bacterial small subunit ribosomal RNA", at positions 28 to 507 of the family's 1533-position model. The record is from RNAcentral.